GGGGCAAAUUCCUCAAUCGUUAGUGAGAAGAAUAGAUGCCAGAAGCCUGGGACUGUUCCUAGUCUGACUGCAGGUCUGGGUAGCUCAUUUGAUGUGUCCUGAAACCGUUUAAAGCAACAUCACCACUAGUCAAGAGAUAUUAAAGCUGCAAGGGGUUAAAUAUUUGUGGCUGAACAGACAGAAAAGAAUUUCCCUUGAUGUACCAUUUCUGCUGCUGAGGAACCACCAUCACUGAAGAAAGGGCAGAGAGCCUGAGAGAGGCAAUGAAAGGGCCAAGGAACAGUUAAGGAAUACUAAAAGUAGAAGCAAGAGGAAAUGACAAGACUAGUCACUUGCCUGAGGUCAGGAUCUGGGGCAUAAGUGGGUAAGGACAAGCUACUCUUAGAGAGUUCAUUGAGAGACAUGGAAGAAAGUGAGCUAAGCAGGGGGAAACAUCUGGCUGGGAAGGUAAAGAAAUGGGCAUAACUUCCAUUCUUCUGUAAGUUCUUGAACUUCCACUUUAUA
Long non-coding RNA from Rhineura floridana, 504 nucleotides. RefSeq lists it as uncharacterized. Lineage: Eukaryota; Metazoa; Chordata; Lepidosauria; Squamata; Rhineuridae. The transcript has 3 exons. The record is from RefSeq and is a predicted model, not a curated record.